Molecule: ribosomal RNA, 470 nt
Filed under: uncultured bacterium
Lineage: Bacteria
Description: bacterial SSU rRNA
Rfam family: Bacterial small subunit ribosomal RNA
Source: RNAcentral
CUACGCACUCCUACGGGAGGCAGCAGUGGGGAAUAUUGCACAAUGGGCGCAAGCCUGAUGCAGCCAUGCCGCGUGUAUGAAGAAGGCCUCGGGUUGUAAAGUACUUUCAGCAGUGAGGAAGGUGGGUAUGUUAAUAGCAUACUCAUUUGACGUUAGCUGCAGAAGAAGCACCGGCUAACUCCGUGCCAGCAGCCGCGGUAAUACGGAGGGUGCGAGCGUUAAUCGGAAUUACUGGGCGUAAAGCGCAUGCAGGUGGUUUGUUAAGUCAGAUGUGAAAGCCCGGGGCUCAACCUCGGAAUUGCAUUUGAAACUGGCAAACUAGAGUACUGUAGAGGGGGUAGAAUUUCAGGUGUAGCGGUGAAAUGCGUAGAGAUCUGAAGGAAUACCGGUGGCGAAGGCGGCCCCCUGGACAGAUACUGACACUCAGAUGCGAAAGCGUGGGGAGCAAACAGGAUUAGAUACCCUGGUAG